CGGUGGCGAUGCGCUUAGGGGAAACACCCGUACCCAUUCCGAACACGAUGGUUAAGACUUAAGCGGCCGAUGGUACUAUGCUGGAGACGGCAUGGGAGAGCAGGUGGCUGCCGGAUU
RNAcentral lists this ribosomal RNA (117 nucleotides) under Enterocloster clostridioformis. RNAcentral also lists the same sequence under 7 other names. The record is from RNAcentral. Lineage: Bacteria; Bacillati; Bacillota; Clostridia; Lachnospirales; Lachnospiraceae.